AGAGUUUGAUCCUGGCUCAGGGUGAACGCUGGCGGUGUGGAUGAGGCAUGCAAGUCGAACGCCCCUUCGGGGGAGUGGCAAACGAGUUAGUAACGCGUGGGUAAUCUACCCUGUUCACGGGGACAACCAGUCGAAAGGCUGGCUAAUACCCGAUGGUCUGUCGGAUGCGGAAGCAGCUGACAGUAAAGAACUUCGGAACAGGAGGAGCCCGCGUCCUAUCAGCUUGUUGGUGAGGUAAAAGCUCACCAAGGCAAUGACGGGUAGGUGGUCUGAGAGGAUGGUCACCAACGAGGGCACUGAGACACGGGCCCUACUCCUACGGGAGGCAGCAGCCGAGAAUCUUGCGCAAUGGGCGAAAGCCUGACGCAGCGACACCGCGUGCUUGAAGAAGCUCUACGGAGUGUAAAGGGCUUUUCUGUGGGAACAACCUUCGGGUGAGGGUACCACAGGAAUAAAGGGGGGCUAAUCGCGUGCCAGCAGCAGCGGUAAAACGUGACCCCUAAGCGUUACCCGGAAUUAUUGGGCGUAAAGAGUCUGUAGGCGGUUUGGUAAGUUUGAGGUGAAAGCCCUCGGGCUCAACCUGAGGAACGCUUUGAAUACUGCCAAACUAGAAGGCGUCAGAGGCUGAUGGAACGCACGGUGUAGGGGUGAAAUCCGUUGAUAUCGUGCGGAACACCAAAAGCGAAGGCAUUCAGCUGGGGCGACCUUGACGCUGAGAGACGAAAGCUAGGGGAGAGAAGAGGAUUAGAUACCCUCGUAUUCCUAGCUGUAAACGAUGGAUGUUAGCUAUUGCAAGUGUCGACCCUUGCAGUGGCGAAGCUAACGCGUUAAACAUCCCGCCUGGGUAGUACAGCCGCAAGGCCGAAACUCAAAGGAAUAGACGGGGGCCCACACAAGCGGUGGAUCAUGUGGCUUAAUUCGAUGACAAGCGAGGAACCUUACCAGGGCUUGACAUCCUAGUGAUAACCAAAAGAGAUUUUGGUUUCCUACAAGGCACUAGGACAGGUGGUGCAUGGUUGUCGUCAGCAGGUGUCGUGAGAUGCACGCUUAAAUGCGGAAACCUGCGAAACCCUUACUCUAUGUUUUAUGUGUCAUAGAGAACUGCCCGUGUAUAACGGGAGGAAGGCGAGGAUGACGUCAAAUCAGCAUGUCCCUUAUGUCCUGGGCUGCACACAUGAUACAAUGGCCGGUACAACGGGUUGCCAAGUCGUAAGACGGAGCUAAUCCUUCAAAGCCGGUCUCAGUCCGGAUUGGGGUCUGCAACUCGACCCUAUGAAGCUGGAAUCGCUAGUAAUCGCGAAUCAUCACGUCGCGGUGAAUACGUUUCUGGGCCUUGCACACACCGCCCGU
Molecule: ribosomal RNA, 1350 nt
Filed under: uncultured bacterium
Lineage: Bacteria
Description: bacterial SSU rRNA
Rfam family: Bacterial small subunit ribosomal RNA
Source: RNAcentral